UCAUCACACAGGCCGAAUCCUGCAAAGCAGGUACGGGGGACGCUUUUGCGCAGCAAACCUGCGCUUGGGGUGAAAGCGACUUAUGUCGCAAGGAUGACCUCGACCCAAACCCGACAACUAACCUCGAAGGCCACAGGAGGAAAACAU
Molecule: small RNA, 147 nt
Filed under: Paenalicyclobacillus ferrooxydans
Lineage: Bacteria; Bacillati; Bacillota; Bacilli; Caryophanales; Alicyclobacillaceae
Description: Alicyclobacillus ferrooxydans c-di-AMP sequence
Rfam family: c-di-AMP riboswitch aptamer (ydaO/yuaA leader)
About the family: This family represents a conserved RNA structure found upstream of the ydaO and yuaA genes in Bacillus subtilis and related genes in other bacteria. The ydaO/yuaA element is thought to act as a genetic "off" switch for the ydaO and yuaA genes in its native state.
Source: Rfam by way of RNAcentral